Molecule: unclassified non-coding RNA, 277 nt
Organism: Cricetulus griseus (Chinese hamster)
Lineage: Eukaryota; Metazoa; Chordata; Mammalia; Rodentia; Cricetidae
Rfam family: Metazoan signal recognition particle RNA
About the family: The signal recognition particle (SRP) is a universally conserved ribonucleoprotein. It is involved in the co-translational targeting of proteins to membranes. The eukaryotic SRP consists of a 300-nucleotide 7S RNA and six proteins: SRPs 72, 68, 54, 19, 14, and 9.
Source: Ensembl
GCCAGGUGUGGUGGCUCAUGCCUAUAGUCCUAGCUACUCGGGAGGCUGAGACAGGAGGAUCACUUGAGUCCAGAAGUUCUGGGCUGUAAUGUGCUAUGCUGAUCGGGUGUCCACACUAAGUUCGGCAUCAAUAUGGUGACCUCCCGGGAGCGGGACCACCAGGUUGCCUACGGAGGGGUGAACCAGCCCAGGUCGGAAAUGGAGCAGGUCAAAACUCCCAUGCUGAUCAGAAUAACUGGAAUUUUAGAAUACAUUAACUAUAAUCAUAAAAAGAUUU